CCUACGGGUGGCAGCAGUAGGGAAUAUUGCUCAAUGGGGGAAACCCUGAAGCAGCAACGCCGCGUGGAGGAUGAAGGUUUUCGGAUUGUAAACUCCUGUUGUUAGAGAAGAUAAUGACGGUAUCUAACGAAUAAGCACCGGCUAACUCCGUGCCAGCAGCCGCGGUAAUACGGAGGGUGCAAGCGUUACUCGGAAUCACUGGGCGUAAAGAGCGCGUAGGCGGGAUAGCAAGUCAGAUGUGAAAUCCUAGGGCUUAACCAUAGAACUGCAUUUGAAACUGGUAUUCUAGAGUAUGGGAGAGGUAGGUGGAAUGCUUGGUGUAGGGGUAAAAUCCGUAGAGAUUCAGAGGAAUACUCAUUGCGAAGGCGACCUGCUAGAACAUAACUGACGCUGAUGCGCGAAAGCGUGGGGAGCAAACAGGAUUAGAUACCCCUGUAGUC
This 440-nucleotide ribosomal RNA is filed under the name uncultured bacterium. Its description in RNAcentral is "partial 16S ribosomal RNA". It matches the Rfam family "Bacterial small subunit ribosomal RNA", at positions 338 to 795 of the family's 1533-position model. The record is from RNAcentral.